RNAcentral lists this ribosomal RNA (720 nucleotides) under uncultured fungus. RNAcentral describes it as "SSU rRNA". It matches the Rfam family "Eukaryotic small subunit ribosomal RNA", at positions 828 to 1570 of the family's 1831-position model. The record is from RNAcentral. Lineage: Eukaryota; Fungi.
CGGCGGUUCUAUUUUGUUGGUUUCUAGAGCCACCGUAAUGAUUAAUAGGGAUAGUCGGGGGCAUCAGUAUUCAAUUGUCAGAGGUGAAAUUCUUGGAUUUAUUGAAGACUAACUACUGCGAAAGCAUUUGCCAAGGAUGUUUUCAUUAAUCAGUGAACGAAAGUUAGGGGAUCGAAGACGAUCAGAUACCGUCGUAGUCUUAACCAUAAACUAUGCCGACUAGGGAUCGGGCGGUGUUCAACUUAUGACCCGCUCGGCACCUUACGAGAAAUCAAAGUUUUUGGGUUCUGGGGGGAGUAUGGUCGCAAGGCUGAAACUUAAAGGAAUUGACGGAAGGGCACCACCAGAUGUGGAGCCUGCGGCUUAAUUUGACUCAACACGGGGAAACUCACCAGGUCCAGACACAUUAAGGAUUGACAGAUUGAGAGCUCUUUCUUGAUUAUGUGGGUGGUGGUGCAUGGCCGUUCUUAGUUGGUGGAGUGAUUUGUCUGCUUAAUUGCGAUAACAAACGAGACCUUAACCUGCUAAAUAGCCUGGCUAGCUUUUGCUGGUCACCGGCUUCUUAGAGGGACUAUCGGCUCAAGCCGAUGGAAGUUUGAGGCAAUAACAGGUCUGUGAUGCCCUUAGAUGUUCUGGGCCGCACGCGCGCUACACUGACAGAGCCAACGAGUAUAACCCUUAGCCGAGAGGUUUAGGUAAUCUUGUUAAACUCUGUCGUGC